AGUGCGAGAGUUUUCUAGUCGGGGCGAAACCCUGGGGUCCACCUGCGUGGGCCCGCCGGGCAGCCUGUGGGUUCGUAGCCCUGAAUACCGACGUUCCGGAUCACGCUUGCACUUACCCUCCAAACCCCAACCCUUGUGUAUCCUACCUCUGUUGCCUCGGCGGGUACGCUCGCCGGUGGACGCAAACUAAACUCUUGUAACGGCGUCGUCUGAGCAAACAAAUGCAAUAGUUAAAACUUUCAACAACGGAUCUCUUGGUUCUGGCAUCGAUGAAGAACGCAGCGAAAUGCGAUAAGUAGUGUGAAUUGCAGAAUUCAGUGAAUCAUCGAAUCUUUGAACGCACAUUGCGCCCUUUGGCAUCCCGAAGGGCAUGUCUGUUCGAGCGUCAUUUCACCUCUCAAGCCCAGCUUGGUGUUGGGAGACGUCCACACUACACGGUGUGGACCCUCCUCAAAAUCAUCGGCGAUUCGACGUCGGCUCUGAGCGUAGCACAAACCUCGCUCUGUGGGUCCGGCGUUGCGUUAGCCGCCAACGUUAUCUGAAGGUUGACCUCGGAUCAGGUAGGGAUACCCGCUGAACUUAAGCAUAUCAAUAAGCGGAGGAAAAGAAACCAACAGGGAUUGCCCUAGUAACGGCGAGUGAAGCGGCAACAGCUCAAAUUUGAAAUCUGGCCCCUGGGUCCGAGUUGUAAUUUGUAGAGGAUGCUUCGGCGUUGGACCCGACCUAAGUUCCUUGGAACAGGACGUCACAGAGGGUGAGAAUCCCGUACGUGGCCGGCGUCCCUCGCCAUGUGAAGCUCCUUCGACGAGUCGAGUUGUUUGGGAAUGCAGCUCUAAAUGGGAGGUAAAUUUCUUCUAAAGCUAAAUACUGGCCAGAGACCGAUAGCGCACAAGUAGAGUGAUCGAAAGAUGAAAAGCACUUUGGAAAGAGAGUUAAAAAGUACGUGAAAUUGUUGAAAGGGAAGCGCUUGCAAUCAGACCUGCCCGCGGUCGCUCAUCCAGGCUUCUGCCUGGUGCACUCUUCCGCGGUCAGGCCAGCAUCGGUUCGGGCGGUCGGACAAAGGCGGCGGGAACGUAGCUCCCCUCGGGGAGUGUUAUAGCCCGCCGUGUAAUGCGGCCAGUCCGGACCGAGGUCCGCG
This 1138-nucleotide ribosomal RNA is filed under the name Dothideomycetes sp. genotype 254. RNAcentral describes it as "eukaryotic LSU rRNA". The stretch from base 547 to 1138 matches the Rfam family "Eukaryotic large subunit ribosomal RNA", at positions 1 to 599 of the family's 3401-position model. The record is from RNAcentral. Lineage: Eukaryota; Fungi; Ascomycota; Dothideomycetes.